RNAcentral lists this ribosomal RNA (254 nucleotides) under uncultured prokaryote. RNAcentral describes it as "partial 16S ribosomal RNA". It matches the Rfam family "Bacterial small subunit ribosomal RNA", at positions 524 to 777 of the family's 1533-position model. The record is from RNAcentral.
UACGGAGGAUGCAAGCGUUAUCCGGAUUCAUUGGGUUUAAAGGGUGCGCAGGCGGGCUUUUAAGUCAGUGGUGAAAGUCUGUCGCUUAACGGUAGGAUUGCCAUUGAUACUGUUAGACUUGAAUAUGGAUGAGGUAGGCGGAAUGUGUAGUGUAGCGGUGAAAUGCAUAGAUAUUACACAGAACACCGAUUGCGAAGGCAGCUUACUAAUCCAUCAUUGACGCUGAGGCACGAAAGCGUGGGGAUCAAACAGGA